RNAcentral lists this ribosomal RNA (513 nucleotides) under uncultured bacterium. RNAcentral's name for it is "bacterial SSU rRNA". It matches the Rfam family "Bacterial small subunit ribosomal RNA", at positions 32 to 518 of the family's 1533-position model. The record is from RNAcentral.
GACGCUGGCGGCGUGCCUAAUACAUGCAAGUCGAACGGCUUUUCUAUGGAAGCUUGCUUCCACUGAGAAGAUAGUGGCGAACGGGUGAGUAACACGUGGGUAACCUGCCCAUAAGAGGGGGAUAACAUCCGGAAACGGGUGCUAAUACCGCAUAGUUUUCUUGAUCGCAUGAUUGAGAAAGGAAAGACGGCCUUUGUGCUGUCGCUUAUGGAUGGACCCGCGGCGUAUUAGUUAGUUGGUGAGGUAACGGCUCACCAAGACGAUGAUACGUAGCCGACCUGAGAGGGUGAUCGGCCACAUUGGGACUGAGACACGGCCCAAACUCCUACGGGAGGCAGCAGUAGGGAAUCUUCCGCAAUGGACGAAAGUCUGACGGAGCAACGCCGCGUGAGUGAAAGAAGGUUUUCGGAUCGUAAAACUCUGUUGUCAGAGGAGAACAAGUUGGAGAGUAACUGCUCCAGCCUUGACGGUAUCUGACCAGAAAGCCACGGCUAACUACGUGCCAGCCGCCGC